GAAAUGCGAUAAAUAAUGUGAAUUGCAGAACUCAGCGAAUCAUCGAACUCUUGAACGCAUCUUGCACCCUCUGGAAACGGAGGGUAUGUCUGUUUGAGUGUUGGUUUAUUAUUAUCACAAUCAAAGAAAUUUGAAAUGUGGAAUUUGAUCUGUUAAUGACAAGCUCAUUAUCGAUUUAAGCAAAGAAAAGGUCGAGAUAUUCAAAUACUUGGACUUUUACAUUAGUGUUGUAGGUUUCGACCCCUCAUUUGAUGUAUCUGUUAUCUAGUACUUUGAUUCUCUAAAUCCCUUUCAACAGAGGUUUCCAAUGAGAACAUCCUCUAAAAUAACCUUUAACAUCAACCUCAAAUCAGUCAAGAUCACCCCCUGAACUUAA
Molecule: unclassified non-coding RNA, 376 nt
Filed under: uncultured fungus
Lineage: Eukaryota; Fungi
Description: sequence contains ITS1
Rfam family: 5.8S ribosomal RNA (bases 1-103)
Source: RNAcentral